Molecule: ribosomal RNA, 468 nt
Filed under: uncultured bacterium
Lineage: Bacteria
Description: partial 16S ribosomal RNA
Rfam family: Bacterial small subunit ribosomal RNA
Source: RNAcentral
GACGAACGCUGGCGGCGUGCUUAACACAUGCCAGUCGGACGGAAAGGCCCUGCUUUUGUGGGGUGCUCGAGUGGCGAACGGGUGAGUAACACGUGAGUAACCUGCCCUUGACUUUGGGAUAACUUCAGGAAACUGGGGCUAAUACCGGAUAGGAGCUCCUGCUGCAUGGUGGGGGUUGGAAAGUUUCGGCGGUUGGGGAUGGACUCGCGGCUUAUCAGCUUGUUGGUGGGGUAGUGGCUUACCAAGGCUUUGACGGGUAGCCGGCCUGAGAGGGUGAACGGCCACAUUGGGACUGAGAUACGGACCAGACUCCUACGGGAGGCAGCAGUGGGGAAUAUUGCACAAUGGGCGGAAGCCUGAUGCAGCAACGCCGCGUGCGGGAUGACGGCCUUCGGGUUGUAAACCGCUUUCGCCUGUGACGAAGCGUGAGUGACGGUAAUGGGUAAAGAAGCACCGGCUAACUACGUG